GACGGACGCUGGCGGCGUGCCUAAUACAUGCAAGUCGAGCGAAGUUUUUCUGGUGCUUGCACUAGAAAAACUUAGCGGCGAACGGGUGAGUAACACGUAAAGAACCUGCCUCAUAGACUGGGACAACUAUUGGAAACGAUAGCUAAUACCGGAUAACAGUAUUUCUCGCAUGAGAGAUAUUUAAAAGUUGGUUAUGCUAACACUAUGAGAUGGCUUUGCGGUGCAUUAGCUAGUUGGUGGGGUAAAGGCCCACCAAGGCGACGAUGCAUAGCCGACCUGAGAGGGUGAUCGGCCACACUGGGACUGAGACACGGCCCAGACUCCUACGGGAGGCAGCAGUAGGGAAUCUUCCGCAAAGGGCGAAAGCCUGACGGAGCAACGCCGCGUGAGUGAAGAAGGAUUUCGGUUCGUAAAGCUCUGUUGUUAGGGAAGAAUGGAUAUGUAGUAACUAUACAUGUAAGAGACGGUACCUAACCAGAAAGCCACGGCUAACUACGUG
Molecule: ribosomal RNA, 499 nt
Filed under: uncultured bacterium
Lineage: Bacteria
Description: partial 16S ribosomal RNA
Rfam family: Bacterial small subunit ribosomal RNA
Source: RNAcentral